GGAGAGGUGGCUGAGCGGUUGAAAGCGCGGCUCUCGAAAAGCCGUAGGGUUGAAAGACCCUCCAGGGUUCGAAUCCCUGCCUCUCCGCCA
RNAcentral lists this transfer RNA (90 nucleotides) under Candidatus Kuenenbacteria bacterium. Its description in RNAcentral is "tRNA-Ser". It matches the Rfam family "tRNA". Rfam says of the family: Transfer RNA (tRNA) molecules are approximately 80 nucleotides in length. The record is from RNAcentral. Lineage: Bacteria; Candidatus Kueneniibacteriota.